AGUUUUAUCAUACAUGGAUAA
RNAcentral lists this microRNA (21 nucleotides) under Macaca mulatta (Rhesus monkey). Its description in RNAcentral is "Mml-Novel-18_5p* (star (passenger))". The record is from RNAcentral. Lineage: Eukaryota; Metazoa; Chordata; Mammalia; Primates; Cercopithecidae.